RNAcentral lists this ribosomal RNA (171 nucleotides) under Triticum aestivum (bread wheat). RNAcentral describes it as "partial small subunit ribosomal RNA". Lineage: Eukaryota; Viridiplantae; Streptophyta; Magnoliopsida; Poales; Poaceae. The record is from RNAcentral.
AUGACACUUAUAAGCUGGAACUGUCGGGGUUUGGGGCAACCCCGGACAGUUCGUGAACUAGUGGGUUUCGUGCACAUCUACAGACCCAAACUAGUUUUUAUCUCUGAAACACGGCAAAGCAAUGAUGUAGUGAAUAAGUUGAGAUGGAGGCUUGGCCUCAAACACUGUAUC